CAGGGAAUAGUUUUAAAAAAAAAUAUUAAUUUUGGAGAUUAAUGAUAAGAUAUAUCUUUUCCCUGA
This 66-nucleotide transfer RNA is filed under the name Cucujoidea sp. 14 KM-2017. RNAcentral's name for it is "tRNA-Pro". Lineage: Eukaryota; Metazoa; Arthropoda; Insecta; Coleoptera. The record is from RNAcentral.